UGAAAAUGAUGAUUAAUUAUUAUUUGCUACUCUUGAAGAGCUUUGAUGAAUACUUACACCUUAGAAACUGAGU
This is a small nucleolar RNA of Drosophila melanogaster (fruit fly), 73 nucleotides long. NCBI's taxonomy places the organism in Eukaryota, Metazoa, Arthropoda, Insecta, Diptera, Drosophilidae. The record is from Ensembl.